This 509-nucleotide ribosomal RNA is filed under the name uncultured Latescibacterota bacterium. RNAcentral describes it as "bacterial SSU rRNA". It matches the Rfam family "Bacterial small subunit ribosomal RNA", at positions 8 to 492 of the family's 1533-position model. The record is from RNAcentral. Lineage: Bacteria; Pseudomonadati; Candidatus Latescibacterota.
AGAGUUUGAUCCUGGCUCAGAACGAACGCUGGCGGCGUGGAUUAGGCAUGCAAGUCGAACGCGAAAGUCACCUUCGGGUGGCGAGUAGAGUGGCGAACGGGUGAGUAACACGUGAGGAACUUGCCUUCGACAGGGGGAUAACACUCUUAACAGGGUGCUAAUACCGCAUGAGACCACGGGGCUGCAUGGCCCUGAGGUCAAAGGUGGCCUCUAUUUAUAAGCUACCGGUCGAAGAUGGCCUCGCGUCCCAUUAGCUAGUUGGCGGUGUAACGGACCACCAAGGCGACGAUGGGUAGCUGGUCUGAGAGGAUGGUCAGCCACACUGGGACUGAGAUACGGCCCAGACUCCUACGGGAGGCAGCAGUCGAGAGGCUUUGGCAAUGGGGGAAACCCUGACCAAGCGACGCCGCGUGAAGGAUGAAGGCCCUUGGGUUGUAAACUUCUUUUGCUAGGGAAGAAACACGAUCAGGUGAAUAAUCUGGUCGUUGACGGUACCUGGCGAAUAGUCC